CAAGAGCGUAUGUAAAAGUUGUUGCAGUUAAAAAGCUCGUAGUUGAACCUUGGGUUUGGUUGGCCGGUCCGCUUUUUUGCGAGUACUGGAUUCAACCGAGCCUUUCCUUCUGGCUAACCAGUCGUUUCGGCGGCUGGCGAACCAGGAUUUUUACUUUGAGAAAAUUAGAGUGUUCAAAGCAGGCAUUAGCUUGAAUAUAUUAGCAUGGAAUAAUAGAAUAGGACGUUAUGGUUCUAUUUUGUUGGUUUCUAGGACCAUCGUAAUGAUUAAUAGGGACGGUCGGGGGCAUCAGUACUCAGUUGUCAGAGGUGAAAUUCUUGGAUUUACUGAAGACUAACUACUGCGAAAGCAUUUGCCAAGGACGUUUUCAUUAA
Molecule: ribosomal RNA, 374 nt
Filed under: uncultured eukaryote
Lineage: Eukaryota
Description: partial 18S ribosomal RNA
Rfam family: Eukaryotic small subunit ribosomal RNA
Source: RNAcentral